AGAGUUUGAUCCUGGCUCAAAUUGAACGCUAGCGCGAUGCUUUACCAUGCAGUCAAACGGCAACACGAAAGAGCUUGCUCUCUUGGUGGCGAGUGGGCGGACGGGUGAGUAAUAUAUCGGAACGUGCCCAGUAGCGGGGGAUAACUACUUGAAAGAGUGGCUAAUACCGCAUACGCCCUACGGGGGAAAGGGGGGGAUCGCAAGACCUCUCACUAUUGGAGCGGCCGAUAUCGGAUUAGCUAGUUGGUGGGGUAAAGGCUCACCAAGGCAACGAUCCGUAGCUGGUUUGAGAGGACGACCAGCCACACUGGGACUGAGACACGGCCCAGACUCCUACGGGAGGCAGCAGUGGGGAAUUUUGGACAAUGGGGGAAACCCUGAUCCAGCCAUCCCGCGUGUAUGAUGAAGGCCUUCGGGUUGUAAAGUACUUUUGGCAGAGAAGAAAAGGCAUCCCCUAAUACGGGAUGCUGCUGACGGUAUCUGCAGAAUAAGCACCGGCUAACUACGUGCCAGCAGCCGCGGUAAUACGUAGGGUGCAAGCGUUAAUCGGAAUUACUGGGCGUAAAGCGUGUGUAGGCGGUUCGGAAAGAAAGAUGUGAAAUCCCAGGGCUCAACCUUGGAACUGCAUUUUUAACUGCCGAGCUAGAGUAUGUCAGAGGGGGGUAGAAUUCCACGUGUAGCAGUGAAAUGCGUAGAUAUGUGGAGGAAUACCGAUGGCGAAGGCAGCCCCCUGGGAUAAUACUGACGCUCAGACACGAAAGCGUGGGGAGCAAACAGGAUUAGAUACCCUGGUAGUCCACGCCCUAAACGAUGUCAACUAGCUGUUGGGGCCGUUAGGCCUUAGUAGCGCAGCUAACGCGUGAAGUUGACCGCCUGGGGAGUACGGUCGCAAGAUUAAAACUCAAAGGAAUUGACGGGGACCCGCACAAGCGGUGGAUGAUGUGGAUUAAUUCGAUGCAACGCGAAAAACCUUACCUACCCUUGACAUGUCUGGAAUGCCGAAGAGAUUUGGCAGUGCUCGCAAGGGAACCGGAACACAGGUGCUGCAUGGCUGUCGUCAGCUCGUGUCGUGAGAUGUUGGGUUAAGUCCCGCAACGAGCGCAACCCUUGUCAUUAGUUGCUACGCAAGAGCACUCUAAUGAGACUGCCGGUGACAAACCGGAGGAAGGUGGGGAUGACGUCAAGUCCUCAUGGCCCUUAUGGGUAGGGCUUCACACGUCAUACAAUGGUCGGGACAGAGGGUCGCCAACCCGCGAGGGGGAGCCAAUCUCAGAAACCCGAUCGUAGUCCGGAUCGCAGUCUGCAACUCGACUGCGUGAAGUCGGAAUCGCUAGUAAUCGCGGAUCAGAAUGUCGCGGUGAAUACGUUCCCGGGUCUUGCACACACCGCCCGUCA
RNAcentral lists this ribosomal RNA (1395 nucleotides) under uncultured bacterium. RNAcentral's name for it is "16S ribosomal RNA". It matches the Rfam family "Bacterial small subunit ribosomal RNA". The record is from RNAcentral.